RNAcentral lists this unclassified non-coding RNA (253 nucleotides) under uncultured Cyclobacteriaceae bacterium. Its description in RNAcentral is "contains 16S-23S intergenic spacer region". It matches the Rfam family "Bacterial small subunit ribosomal RNA", at positions 524 to 776 of the family's 1533-position model. Lineage: Bacteria; Pseudomonadati; Bacteroidota; Cytophagia; Cytophagales; Cyclobacteriaceae. The record is from RNAcentral.
UACGGAGGGUGCAAGCGUUGUCCGGAUUUAUUGGGUUUAAAGGGUGCGUAGGCGGGUCUUUAAGUCCGUGGUGAAAGCCCAUCGCUCAACGAUGGAACUGCCAUGGAUACUGGGGACCUUGAAUUCAGUUGAGGUAGGCGGAAUUGAUGGUGUAGCGGUGAAAUGCAUAGAUACCAUCAGGAACACCGAUUGCGAAGGCAGCUUACUGGGCUUGAAUUGACGCUGAGGCACGAAAGCUAGGGUAGCGAAAGGG